Molecule: long non-coding RNA, 3371 nt
Organism: Cyprinodon tularosa
Lineage: Eukaryota; Metazoa; Chordata; Actinopteri; Cyprinodontiformes; Cyprinodontidae
Exons: 2
Source: RefSeq, a predicted model, not a curated record
CAGCUGGCAUCAAUGAGGUGUACACUAAUGCUGAGGUAGUUCUCAUUAUAGACAGAUGUCUAGUGGUCCCUCGUCAGUGCUAAACACGUCGCCUCAAUCAACUUUAGCAGCUUUCUCUGCAGCGUACUGCUCAUUUAUUCUCCUCCACAGUUAGACGCCACAGGUAUGAACACUAGUUCCAUGUUUGACUGGUGAUAAAAUGUCCAUCUAGAAACUCCUUCACCUCACUAUAUCAGAAACUCACAGGUUAAUGGUCUUUUUCAAGCAAAGUUUUGAGAAAGCCAUUAAUUAACAGCUCUUUUUACAUAGAAACUAGAACCGAUAAGGUAUUCUAUUGUAAACUAGUAAAUAUUCAGGUCCUGGGUGAAUAUGUGGAUGUGAACAUUUGAAAGUUAAUUAUUUUGGGCCUGAGUAAAUUAGUGAGAGAGUUGCCCUGACAAAAAAAAAAAAGGUGUUUGUAUUCAUCAUUCAGCUAAAAGGUUCUUUUAGCUGAAUGAUAAUCUAUUGGUUGGAAAUAUUCCAGAAACAUACAUUCAGAUGAAAAUAUCCUCAGAUGAAAAUAAAAGCAAAGGUAGGACAGAUUUAAUGAGCUUUGCUCAGUUUUGCUGAUUAUUCUGGGGGAUUUUUUUAAGAGCUCAGCUGCAAAUGAUCAGAGUUUUGCUAAUUCAGUGUCUUGUUGGCUUUCAUUAGCAAUGCAUCAAUCAGCCCUGCUACGUGUGUUGUUGAAACCAGGCCCACCAAAACUCCAACUUUAUUUGGCCCAGUGUCAGAGCUAUGGUCAAUAGAUAUUAGAAUGAAGUAGAUCAUCUAUAGAGGAGUCUCAGAUGUAGAUUUGGGACAUAUAGAAGUGUGUGUCAGUCUCAGAGUUAGUCAGCUACAAGCUAAUUAAUGUUGUAAAGUAGCUCCAGUCACCUUUAAAGGCUCUGAAUUAUAGGGUUAAACUACGGGACAUCAAAGAACUCAGUUUAGAGGCUGGAGUCUGUAGUUCAGGGAAAAUUAAGUCCUAAAAUGAUGAAACAUGUUUGUUUAAAAAGAUAAACAAGAUUGAUGAUGUUGCUGUUAUUUUACUGAUCAGGUUGAACCUGCUUUAACUCUGUAAAAAGCCUUUGUUUUAAAAAUGUAUUAAAGAAAUCUGACUCUCCUCUAGAAGUUUAAAGUUUCUGCUUUUUAGAGAUUUUUGAAAGUAUAAUUUUCCUUUGAACUAAUUCUAAUAGUUUUGUUCUUGAUUCUGUAGAUUUUCUAUUUUAUACAACUGAUUUUAUGUUUUAUAUUCUGCUGUGGAUGUUUUUAAUUAUUGUAAUCACUUCUAAACUGAUGAAUUAGCAGCAAUAAAAACCUCAUGGAUUGAAACAAUUUGCUUCUUUUUAUGGUUUCAUAUUAAUUACAAUCUUCUUCCAUGUUUUCUCUGAUGUUUUCAUACGAACUAAAGCUCUAAAAUAAAUAGUAAUUGCAUUCACCUUCUGUCUUCUCCAGUCUUUCCUGUUGCUCCUCCAUCAGCAUUAAUGGUUUUUGCUUUUUAGAGCCUGAGUUCAAAUCUGGCCAUUGGAUAAAUCCUCCUUUGCUUGUUGGAGAACUUAGAUCAGGAAAUAAUGUAGGUACGUAUUCUGGCCCAGUUGGUUCGGCACCUGAUAAAACAAGUGUUUCAGUUGCUAUAACUGUGUGUGUCCAGAGCCGCUACAACCAAGCAACUAGAGGAAUGAAGGAUCUAACUAUGGCUGUGUUCACAAUGCAGCCUGAAGGGACCCAACAGAGAUAUCUGGAAGAGGGUCCAACGGGUCUCAUCAGAAAGAACCAGAACGACAUGCAGACUGCAGUGAGUGGGCGGAGCCAAGAUACCUGGACAGGUGAGGAACAGUUUGGACAACAUCCUGAGGUAUUUAUUUGCCCUUCUAAUAUUUAGUUUGGAUUUCAUGCGAUGGAUCAUCAUAACAUGAACUCUUUAUGGAGAAAUAUGCCCAGUGCAACCGGCUGCUUUCAGAGAUAACCUAAUGUCUAGAUACCUGUUGCCUGAAGGCCUUUUAGGUUUGUUGGAGAACAUUCUAGAAAUAACCCGACAGGAAAACCAAGGAACAGAGCAGACAUUGAUGCAUGUUGGUGGUAAACUUCAAUAUAGCAGUAUCUGACCUCUAACAUCAGGCAAGUGCAGCGUCUUGCCCAAUGACACAGAGACGUACGGAGCUGCAGCUUGAACAGACAAAUCCCUCCUCCUGAGCCAGCUUAUGCUACUGUAGGGAUGACUGAAAUUGCUGCUGCAAACCCACAAAGAAUUCACAGUGCCUCUUAGCUUCACUCUGGAGGAGCUGCAGAGAUCUACAGCUCAAGUGGAAUAAUCUGUCAACAGGAUAGAAAUCAGUCAUCCAGAAAUAAGCCUCUAUUAAAGUCUGAAAUUUGACAUUAAAACCCCAUAUUAUUGGGAACUGCGUUUAAUUAUAAUUGGGAACAUUUAUAUUUAAAUCUUUACCCUCAUUUCAGUCUUUAAAAUAUGUGGAUAUUUAUUUGUACAAUCAUUGCAUCGUGACGGCACAGAGAUGCUAUGGAUGGUGAGCUAGAAUGUCCUGCUGCAGGGUCAGAUUAUGUUUCUGAAUGCUUUUAGUUUUACCCUAAAUAUGUAAAACAAAAUUGAAUUUUUAAUGCAAUUAAUCUAAACCUUAGAAAAGAAGUGCUUUUUCUAGCUUUUAAUUUCCCCACACAUUCCAAAUUAGUCAAUCCUUAUUCUUCAAAACAACUCAAAAUAAGCCUAAUUAUAGAGAAAAGUGUUAAAUGUUUAAAUGUUUUCCUGGUCCUACAAUAAAGGGGGCAAAUAUAAAUUACAGGCACUUCUGAUAUUGGUUUGUGAAGAUUUUUAAAAGCCAUUUAACAUUUCCUACCAUUUUACAAACCUGCAGUACGACUGGAUCCUUUGCAAAUAAUCUCAUUUAAAUGGAAGAAAGUUUGUGGCUUUAGCGUUACAAAAAUGUGAAAAUAGAACAUGUAAAAUUACACACAAGGAUCGUUUUCAAUUAGAAACUGUUCAAUAUCAUUUUUUCUAAUUUUUCUUGGUCAUUUGCAGAAAGACGUGCUUCAGCACAAAAAAGGGAGUAAGGAGAUACUUUUAUUAAGAUGAAAUACAUUUUUUAGAGAACUCUGCAGAUAAAAAUCACAGUUUAAUAACCACCUUUUCUUCCCUUGAAGAAAAGACUUAAAUAAGCAUCAUGGAUUCUAUGGGAUGAUGAAUAUUUGGUCCAGGCAGGUUAGGUCAGAGAGGAUCAGCAUAAAGGAGUCGCUUCUAAGAGUCCACAGAGAUCCUGGAUCAGCAGCUCAGCUUCUCCUGGUCAAAGGAACCUUUUCUUCCAGGUUGGUUUCAGCAUCUGCUGCUCAAACUGAAGAAAACA